GACGAACGCUGGCGGCGUGCUUAACACAUGCAAGUCGAACGGAAAGGCCCUGCUCUUGUGGGGUGCUCGAGUGGCGAACGGGUGAGUAACACGUGAGUAACCUGCCCUUGUCUUUGGGAUAACUUCAGGAAACUGGGGCUAAUACCGGGUAGGAGCUCCUGCUGCGUGGUGGGGGUUGGAAAGUUUCGGCGGUGGGGGAUGGUCUGGCGGCUUAUCAGCUUGAUGGUGGGGUAGUGGUUUACCAAGGUUUUGAAGGAUAGCCGGCCUGGGAGGGGUAACGGGCACAAGGCGCCUGAGAGAGGGACCAGACGCGUAUGGGAGGCAGCAGUGGGGAACAUUGCACAACGGGGGGAAGCGUGAUGUAACAACCCCGCGUGCGUGAUGCCGGCUUUCGGGGUGUAAACAGCUUUGGCCGGUGACGAAGCGUGAUUGACGGUAACGGGUAAAGAAGCACCGGCUAACUACGUG
Molecule: ribosomal RNA, 468 nt
Filed under: uncultured bacterium
Lineage: Bacteria
Description: partial 16S ribosomal RNA
Rfam family: Bacterial small subunit ribosomal RNA
Source: RNAcentral